UGGGGAAUAUUGGACAAUGGGGGCAACCCUGAUCCAGCAAUGCCGCGUGUGUGAAGAAGGCCUGAGGGUUGUAAAGCACUUUCGCUGGGGAGGAGUGAUUGCUAGGUUAAGAGCUAGGCAGUUGGACGUUACCCAGAUAAGAAGCACCGGCUAACUCCGUGCCAGCAGCCGCGGUAAUACGGAGGGUGCGAGCGUUAAUCGGAAUUACUGGGCGUAAAGGGUGCGUAGGUGGUUUGAUAAGUUAACUGUGAAAGUCCUGGGCUUAACCUGGGAAGGUCAGUUAAGACUGUUAGACUUAGAGUAUAGGAGAGGGUAGUGGAAUUUCCGGUGUAGCGGUGAAAUGCGUAGAGAUCGGAAGGAACACCAGUGGCGAAGGCGGCUACCUGGCCUAAUACUGACACUGAGGCACGAAAGCGUGGGGAGCAAACAG
RNAcentral lists this ribosomal RNA (430 nucleotides) under uncultured bacterium. Its description in RNAcentral is "bacterial SSU rRNA". It matches the Rfam family "Bacterial small subunit ribosomal RNA", at positions 355 to 775 of the family's 1533-position model. The record is from RNAcentral.